This 520-nucleotide ribosomal RNA is filed under the name uncultured Glomus. RNAcentral's name for it is "SSU rRNA". It matches the Rfam family "Eukaryotic small subunit ribosomal RNA", at positions 569 to 1088 of the family's 1831-position model. Lineage: Eukaryota; Fungi; Glomeromycota; Glomeromycetes; Glomerales; Glomeraceae. The record is from RNAcentral.
AGCAGCCGCGGUAAUUCCAGCUCCAAUAGCGUAUAUUAAAGUUGUUGCAGUUAAAAAGCUCGUAGUUGAAUUUCGGGAUCAAUUUGCUGGUCGUGCCUCUGGUACGUACUGGUAUUAUUGGUUUCUCCCUUCUGACGAACCAUGAUGUCAUUAAUUUGAUGUCGUGGAGAAUCAGGACUGUUACUUUGAAAAAAAUUAGAGUGUUUAAAGCAGGCAUUAGCUUGAAUACAUUAGCAUGGAAUAAUGAAAUAGGACGUUUGAUCCUAUUUUGUUGGUUUCUAGGAUUGACGUAAUGAUUAAUAGGGAUAGUUGGGGGGCAUUAGUAUUCAAUUGUCAGAGGUGAAAUUCUUUGGAUUAUUGAAGACUAACUACUGCGAAAGCAUUUGCCAAGGAUGUUUUCAUUAAUCAAGAACGAAAGUUAGGGGAUCGAAGACGAUCAGAUACCGUCGUAGUCUUAACCAUAAACUAUGCCGACUAGGGAUCGGAUGAUGUUAAUUUUUUAAUGACUCAUUCGGCGCCU